UCCGAGUGGUGAAGGAUAGUGCCAAGAAAAGCUGGCUAUGUUAUGAAGAUAGAACACCCGUACCCGAAACCGACACAGGUAGGGAGGUUGAGAAUACCAAGGGGCGCGAGAUAACUCUCUCUAAGGAACUCGGCAAAAUGGCCCCGUAACUUCGGGAGAAGGGGUGCCCACCUCAGACGUGGGUCGCAGUGAAGAGAUCCAGGCGACUGUUUACCAAAAACACAGGUCUCCGCCAACUCGCAAGAGGACGUAUGGGGGCUGACGCCUGCCCAGUGCCGGAAGGUUAAGGAAGCUGGUCAGCGAAAGUAAAGCUGGCGACUGAAGCCCCGGUGAACGGCGGCCGUAACUAUAACGGUCCUAAGGUAGCGAAAUUCCUUGUCGGGUAAGUUCCGACCCGCACGAAAGGCGUAACGAUCUGGAUGGUGUCUCAGAGAGAGACUCGGCGAAAUAGGAAUGUCUGUGAAGAUACGGACUGCCUGCACCUGGACAGAAAGACCCUAUGAAGCUUUACUGUAGCCUGGAAUUGUGUUCGGGCUUCGCUUGCGCAGGAUAGGUGGGAAGCGGUGAACUAUUCCUUUUGGGGAAUAGGGAGCUAACGGUGAGAUACCACUCUGGCGAAGCUAGAAUUCUAACCCACGACCGUCAGCCGGUUGGGGAACAGUUUCAGGUGGGCAGUUUGACUGGGGCGGUCGCCUCCUAAAAAGUAACGGAGGCGCGCAAAGGUUCCCUCAGCACGCUUGGAAACCGUGCGACGAGUGUAAAAGCAAAAGGGAGCUUGACUGCGAGACUGACAAGUCGAGCAGGUACGAAAGUAGGCUUUAGUGAUCCGACGGCGCAGAGUGGAAUGGCCGUCGCUCAACGGAUAAAAGUUACUCUAGGGAUAACAGGCUGAUCUCCCCCAAGAGUCCACAUCGACGGGGAGGUUUGGCACCUCGAUGUCGGCUCAUCGCAACCUGGGGCGGAAGUACGUCCCAAGGGUUGGGCUGUUCGCCCAUUAAAGCGGUACGUGAGCUGGGUUCAGAACGUCGUGAGGCAGUUCGGUCCAUAUCCGGUGCAGGCGCAAGAGUAUUGAGAGGAGUCCUCCUUAGUACGAGAGGACCGGGAGGAACGCACCGCUGGUGUACCAGUUAUUGUACCAACAGUAAACGCUGGGUAGCCAAGUGCGGAGAGGAUAACCGCUGAAAGCAUCUAAGUGGGAAGCCCACCUCAAGAUGAGUACUCUCACUACAAAAAGUAGGUAAGGUCACGGGCAGAACACCCGUUAAUAGGCUCUAAGUGGAAGUGCAGUAAUGUAUGAAGCUGAGGGGUACUAAUAGACCGAGGGCUUGAC
RNAcentral lists this ribosomal RNA (1330 nucleotides) under metagenome. RNAcentral's name for it is "bacterial LSU rRNA". It matches the Rfam family "Bacterial large subunit ribosomal RNA", at positions 1587 to 2925 of the family's 2925-position model. The record is from RNAcentral.